CCUACGGGAGGCAGCAGUGAGGAAUAUUGGUCAAUGGACGAGAGUCUGAACCAGCCAAGUAGCGUGAAGGAUGACUGCCCUAUGGGUUGUAAACUUCUUUUAUAUGGGAAUAAAAUGUUCCACGUGUGGGAUUUUGUAUGUACCAUAUGAAUAAGGAUCGGCUAACUCCGUGCCAGCAGCCGCGGUAAUACGGAGGAUCCGAGCGGUAUCCGGAUUUAUUGGGUUUAAAGGGAGCGUAGGUGGAUUGUUAAGUCAGUUGUGAAAGUUUGCGGCUCAACCGUAAAAUUGCAGUUGAAACUGGCAGUCUUGAGUACAGUAGAGGUGGGCGGAAUUCGUGGUGUAGCGGUGAAAUGCUUAGAUAUCACGCAGAACUCCGAUUGCGAAGGCAGUUCACUGGACUGCAACUGACACUGAGGCUCGAAAGUGUGGGUAUCAAACAGGAUUAGAUACCCCUGUAGUC
RNAcentral lists this ribosomal RNA (460 nucleotides) under uncultured bacterium. Its description in RNAcentral is "partial 16S ribosomal RNA". It matches the Rfam family "Bacterial small subunit ribosomal RNA", at positions 338 to 795 of the family's 1533-position model. The record is from RNAcentral.